This 396-nucleotide ribosomal RNA is filed under the name uncultured bacterium. RNAcentral describes it as "bacterial SSU rRNA". It matches the Rfam family "Bacterial small subunit ribosomal RNA", at positions 30 to 429 of the family's 1533-position model. The record is from RNAcentral.
AUUGAACGCUGGCGGCAUGCCUUACACAUGCAAGUCGAACGGCAGCACGGGAGCAAUCCUGGUGGCGAGUGGCGAACGGGUGAGUAAUGUAUCGGAACGUACCUUUCAGUGGGGGAUAACGUAGCGAAAGUUACGCUAAUACCGCAUAUUCUGUGAGCAGGAAAGCAGGGGAUCGCAAGACCUUGCGCUGAUUGAGCGGCCGAUAUCAGAUUAGCUAGUUGGUGAGGUAAAGGCUCACCAAGGCGACGAUCUGUAGCGGGUCUGAGAGGAUGAUCCGCCACACUGGAACUGAGACACGGUCCAGACUCCUACGGGAGGCAGCAGUGGGGAAUUUUGGACAAUGGGCGCAAGCCUGAUCCAGCCAUGCCGCGUGAGUGAAGAAGGCCUGGUUGUAAG